UGAGAGAGUGAACGGCCACAUUGGGACUGAGACACGGCCCAAACUCCUACGGGAGGCAGCAGUGGGGAAUAUUGCACAAUGGGCGAAACCCUGACUGCAGCGACGCCGCGUGAAGGAAGAAGUAUUUCGGUAUGUAAACUUCUAUCAUUCAGGGAAGAUAAUGACAGUACCUGACUAAGAAGCUCCGGCUAAAUACGUGCCAGC
This 204-nucleotide ribosomal RNA is filed under the name uncultured Clostridiaceae bacterium. Its description in RNAcentral is "partial 16S ribosomal RNA". It matches the Rfam family "Bacterial small subunit ribosomal RNA", at positions 293 to 512 of the family's 1533-position model. Lineage: Bacteria; Bacillati; Bacillota; Clostridia; Eubacteriales; Clostridiaceae. The record is from RNAcentral.